AGCUGCCCUGCUGGGGACGGAGCUUCUCCGGCAGUCCUGCGGCUCCCUCUCCUCCACACUGUGACUCAUCCAUGACAGCCAGCGACGGUCAGGGCACGGAGGUCAUGCCCAAGCACACACGAGUGAACCACAGAAGGCUGUCCUGGAUGCUAAGCAGUCACUAAUUCUGCCCUGGCCUGCUGACCUUCUAUGUGGAGAAGAAGUGCAUCUGGCAUGAGAACUGCUUUAACCCGAAAGGUGGAGGUUGCAGUGAGCCGAGAUCGCGCCACUGCACUCCAGCCUGGGCAACAGAGCGAGACCCUGUCUUACAAAAAAAAAAAAUUAAAUGUAUACAGAUUUAUAUACAUUAAGUGUAUAUAAAUGUCACUCCACUAACGGGAAAAAAUGACACCUUCCAGAUGGUGGUCCCAAGGGGCCGGCCGCCCCACUGUCCUUCACAUUAGGGGGAGGAAGGUGGCUGCUGUGUGCUUGCAAGUCACCUGCUGAUUUGGACUGUUGUGUGCUCUCACCUAUACUUCAAGAUUUGCAAUUUUUUUUUUUUUUUUUUGAGAUGGAAUUUUGCUCUGUAGCCCAGGCUGGAGUGCAGUGGCACCAUCUCGGCUCACUGCAACCUCCACCUCCUGGUUCAAGCAAUCCUCCUGCCUCAGACUCUGGAGUAGAUGGGACUACAGGAGUUUGCAACCAUACCUGGCUAAUUUUUGUAUUUUCAGUAGAGAUGGGGUUUCACCAUGUUGGCCAGGCUGGUCUCGAACUCCUGACCUCAGGUGAGCCACCUGCCUCAGCCUCCCAAAGUGCUGGGAUCACAUGUGUGAGCUGCUGCGCACGGCCAAGAUUUGCAACUCUUGUGUUUCCAAGAUGUCUUGAAAAAAGUUUUAAAGGUUUUUUUUUUUUAUAAAAUUAUAUGUAUUUUUUCUUCAAUAGGUAACACAUGCAGGAGAUAGGAGGUAUGAAAUGCAGGAGUCAAACAGGCCCUGUCCCGCCUACCGCCUCUCCUCGGGACCAGGCUGUGGGUCUCUUGACGGUCUGCUCAAAUGCUUCUAGGCUUGCUGGUGUCUCUUUUCCUUUUGUUUAUAACGCUUUAAAAAUUGAUCAUCCAUUAAAAUUGACUUUUUUCUUUCGGUGGACAGUUCUACAGUUUCUUUUUUCUUUUUUUUUUUUGAGACAGUGUCUCCUCCCUCUGUUGCCCAGGCUGGAGUGCAGUGGUGUGAUCUCGGCUCACAGCAACCUCCGCCUUCUAGGCUCCAACAAUCCUCCCACCUCAGCCUCCCAAGUAGCUGGGACUACCCAAGUGUGAGCCACCAUGCCCAGCUAAUUUUUGUAUUUCUGGUAGAGACGGGGUUUCACCACCUUGCCCAAGCUGGUCUCGAACUCCUGAGCUCAAGCAAUCGGCCUGCCUUGGCCUCCCAAAGUGGUGGGAUUAUAGGUGUGAGCCACUGCACCCGGCCUCAGUUCUACCGAUUUUAACACAUGGAUAGAUGCAUGUAACCACUUUGGGAGGCUGAGACAGGAGGAUCACUUGAGGUCAGGAGUUCAAGACCACCCUGGGCAACACAGGGA
RNAcentral lists this long non-coding RNA (1557 nucleotides) under Homo sapiens (human). RNAcentral's name for it is "non-protein coding lnc-MUC4-4:1". Lineage: Eukaryota; Metazoa; Chordata; Mammalia; Primates; Hominidae. The record is from RNAcentral.